Trichechus manatus latirostris (Florida manatee) is the source of this 1977-nucleotide RNA transcript. It is a transcript of the gene named transmembrane protein 230, with no coding region annotated. The record is from RefSeq and is a predicted model, not a curated record. The transcript has 4 exons. Lineage: Eukaryota; Metazoa; Chordata; Mammalia; Sirenia; Trichechidae.
CGGCCUGGCGUGGCGCUUCGACUGUAGCUGUGCCAACGUGUUAUGAUGCCAUCUCGUACCAAUCUGGCUGCUGGGAUCCCCAGUAGUAAAGUGAAAUACUCAAGGCUUUCUAGCACAGACGAUGGCUACAUUGACCUUCAGGGAGAAACUAGCUACUGAAGCCAGCAGAUUGUGGGGAACUUCCUUCUUUCCUGAUGUCAUGAGAUCCAAUUUAUUAAAGGUACUUUUUGUGACAAACAUUUAAGAAAAGCCCUCCUAAGAUCCCUUAUAAGGCCAUUGCACUUGCCACCGUGCUGUUUUUGAUUGGCGCCUUUCUCAUUAUCAUAGGCUCCCUCCUGCUGGCAGGCUACAUCAGCAAAAUGGUAAGUAUGUGGGCAUGUGCUGUGAAAUCUUUAGAAUGGGAGUCAGGAUCUAUUGUUUUUAUUUCCAAAACUGGUACAGCAUAUUUCAGCAGAAAGAAGAGAGGACUCUUAGAUUUUGUUCUCUGAUAACAAAACAUGGGUUUCUUCCUUUUGAACAACAGCAGACUUCUCCCAGAGUUCUGCUGUGAUGGGUGGUGGCAGGUGGGCAAACUCAGCCUCUGAGAUGUUAGACAACUUGCCCACUGUCGUAGUUUGGAAGAGCUGAAAUGAGCUUUGCUUCCAGAACUCCUGACUGGUAAAGGGCUGUAGCUGGAGUAGCAUGUUGUCAUUGUAGCUUUUCAGUCUCACAGACAUACUGGUAGUAUUUGGGGAGAAGCAGUAAGGCUGGUACAAGUGUGAGGCCGCUGACCUAAGCCAGCACUUUUGGUUCAGGAAUCAGAUCCUUCUUACAUUGGGUUUAGUUGGAGUUCUGUUCAACAUCAAUAUGUUAUCUUAGAAGCAUAAAGUAGUGUUUGGUGGUUCUUUCUCUGGGCUGUCUAUAUGCACAGAGUCUAAGUGGUUCUGAACUGAUCUUGACCAUAAUUCACAUCGGUUCUUCAGAAUGCACUGGGCCAGAGGAUGAUGGUCACAUGACUCCAGAAAGAUCACAGCGAAAGCUGAAACUGUGGGUAUUAUCAUUGGAACUGGGAAUUUCUGUAGAUAAAGUGGCUGUGUAUGGUUUUUAAGAAGUGUGUCUAUUUGCUUUAGGUUCUUAGCUGUUCAAAACUGUGAUGUGGCCACCAGAGGCUUCCCUGGUGCAGUCUAAAGUUGAACCUGUAACUUCAGGACUGUCUUCACAAGUUUCACUUGCAGCAUGCAGUAUAUUGACCCCAGGAGUAUAAUAAGGAGUCUGUUAAUGAUACAAUAAAAAUUAAAAGUGGAGGUGAGCACCACAUAAAACAAAUACCAUUUCACCUUGUGUGGUUUAUAAAAGACUACUUUAUAAAUAGGGAUAAAGCUGUUUAAUUAAGAAAUUAAAAUCACUGCUAGAUCUUUUUUUCACUUUCUAUUACAAAAAUUUCAAACAUAUCAGAAAUAAAGUACGAUAGUGAGCCCCCACAUAUCCACUACCCAGCAUCAACAGUUAUCAACAUUUUGCCAAUCUUGUUUUGUCUAUUCCCCCCCCUUUUUUUCCCCUGUAUAUUAGAGCAAAUACCAAAUAUAUCCAUUUUUCUGGUAAAUUCUUACGUGGGUCUUCAGUAUGUGUCUCUUAACAGUUUUUAUGUAACCCUGAUGCCCUGGUGGCGUAGUGGUUAAGAGCUUGGCUGCUUACCAAAAAGGUCAGCGGUUCAAAUCUCCCAGGCACUCCCUGGAAACUAUGGGGCAGUUCUGCUCUGUCCUGUAGAGUCUCUGUGAGUCGGAACUGACUCGCUGGCACUUAACAACAACAGCUACUAUCUUCUUAAUAUCAUUUACUUUAUUGUUCCUCUGUUCUUCAUAUUUUCGCAAAUAGUUUGUUAGAUUUAAGGGAUUGUUUACAUUCACGUUUAGUUCUGUUUUGUUUUAGAUAGAAUAUUUCAUAAGAGGUGCUGUGUAUUUCCUAUAGCGCCAAACCAAAAAAACCAAACUUGCUGCU